UAUCGGCAAAGGAAAAUGCCGACCCGAUUUUUAUUCUUCUCCAUUUCAAUAUAUUCCUAUCCGAUUCAUCGUUUCUUCCGAUUGAUUAACGAAUCGCAAACAAUACAGUGCAAACUUCGAGAAAAUGUCGCAUCGUUGCGCUGGUUAUCCUUGAUUCGAGGAAAAAUCUUAUCGAACAUACUUAUUCUUUUAAUGCAAUCAGCAGAAAUUGCAGUUCCUCUAUAACUUUCAUGAUACAAGAACAAGUAAAGUGUUUUAUUUACUUUUCAUUUCAUCUCUUUUUGUUUAGAAAAGUUUUAUUCAAAAUUUGAAAAAAAUUCAAUUUUCUGAAUUUAUCCACGCGAAUUUCCGUCACAUUGUUUCUAUUUUAACAAAAUGCAGUUGAUUUCUGAUAAGCGGUUGUUAAUUGGAACAAGACGAUCGUUAAUCGAACUUAACCGGGGUCCUUCCACUAUCGGCCAACGUUACAAACAAACAAAUGACUAUGAAUGGACGAAGUCCACGAUCGCUGUUUGAAGAAACGAACUGUUUCAAAAUAAACUGCACAUGAAAAAGUAACGAAGUGGUAGCAUAAUCGAAGCUUAAAGUUUAUUCAUUAUAAGGAAACUAAUCUAAAAAUAAAUAAAACCAUCUGUGGUUUACAUUAAAAAAUUAUAAAACAAAAGCUUAUCAAAUGUUUUGACCAGAGGAUCUCUAAAGAAGUAUGAGCAAUUUAAAGUGAUCCAAGGUUUCGUUUGGAAAGAGAAACUCGAGGGCAGUAUUGAAACCACCUUUACAGCUUGCGAUAAAAUAUGGAAACGACAGGAAGUCGAGUGUCAAAGUAAAAGUACCUGAAAAGCAUAAAAAACGAAGAAAAAAUAACCAACCAUAGAUGACACCCACUGCAAGUGAACUCAUUAAACUUUCGGAUGACGGACCACGGAGAGAGUCCUAAUUUCAGUUCAGUUCAGUAUUUCAUAUUAUUCUCAUUUUCUAAACUUCAAACUGUUCCUUUAUUUCCCCAAUACAUAAAACUCUUUUAUUUAAAAAUUAUUCCUUUUAGUUCCAGCGUCGAUUGACCCAGGCUUCACUGCUGAAGGGUUGAAGUGAAAAAAGAAAAGAGAAAAAAAAUUGUCCAGCCUUUCUAUCCAGCCAUUAUUCAGCAAGCAUCAAACCCUCAAAUCCUCUCUGUCCGUAGUUCAAACGCGCCCCGUGCAGCAGGGGUGUCUGACGUUCAAAAACCAUGAAAAAGAAAAAAAAAAA
Molecule: non-coding RNA, 1242 nt
Organism: Osmia lignaria (orchard mason bee)
Lineage: Eukaryota; Metazoa; Arthropoda; Insecta; Hymenoptera; Megachilidae
Source: RefSeq, a predicted model, not a curated record